GUGUUUUUUUUGUUUGUAUAUUAGAUUGUUUUAUUAGAUAGUAUUAUGUUACUGGUGGAAAACCCCACCAAUACAAUUCAAUAAUCCUCAAAUACCUUGGAUAUAAACAUCCUUAGUGAUGAUCCUUCCGCAGGUUCACCUACGGAAA
This 148-nucleotide unclassified non-coding RNA is filed under the name uncultured fungus. RNAcentral's name for it is "sequence contains ITS1". Lineage: Eukaryota; Fungi. The record is from RNAcentral.